AUGCGGCCUUCACGGGGGGAUCUCGCCGUCCUCUGCCGCUGCUUCCUGCUCCUGCUGCUCCCUUUCCUGUCCCAUGGCAAGGACAUGCCCCUGGGCUCCACCCUCUCGCCGGGCGGCAACUCGGCCGCGUGGUCCUCGCCCAACUCCACCUUCUCCCUCGCCUUCGCGCCGUCCCCGACCGCGCCCUCGCUCUCCGUCGCCGCCGUCACCUACGCCGGCGGCAUCUCCGUCUGGUCCGCGGGCGCCGGCGCGCCCGUAGACUCGGGGGGCUCGCUCCGCCUCUCCUCCACCGGCGACCUGCAGCUGGUCAACGGCUCCGGCGCCGUGCUCUGGUCGUCCGGCACCGCCGGCCAGGGCGUCUCCGCGGCCGCCCUCCAGGAGAGCGGCAACCUCGUGCUCAAGAACUCCACGGGGGGCGCCCUGUGGCAGUCCUUCGACCACCCCACGGACACCGUGGUCAUGUCCCAGAACUUCGCCUCCGGCAUGAACCUCACCUCGGGCCCCUACGUCUUCGCCGUCGACCGCGCCACCGGCAACCUCACGCUCAGGUGGGCCACCGCCGGCUCCGCCACCGUCACCUACUUCAACAAGGGGUACAACUCCACCUUCACCGCCAACAAGACGCUCAGCUCCCCGACGCUCACGAUGCAGACCAACGGCAUCGUCUCCCUCACCGACGGCACGCUCAACGCCCCCGUCGUCGUCGCCUACAGCAGCAACUACGGCGAGAGCGGCGACAUGCUGCGCUUCGUGCGCCUCGACUCGGACGGCAACUUCCGCGCCUACAGCGCCGGGCGCGGCAGCGGCACGGCCACGGAGCAGUGGUCCGCGGUGGCGGACCAGUGCGAGGUGUUCGGCUACUGCGGCAACAUGGGCGUGUGCGGCUACAACGGCACGUCGCCGGUGUGCGGGUGCCCGUCGCGGAACUUCCAGCUCAACGACGCCUCCAACCCCCGCAGCGGCUGCAAGCGCAAGGUGGAGCUCCAGAACUGCCCGGGCAACUCCACCAUGCUCCAGCUCGACAACACGCAGUUCCUCACCUACACGCCGGAGAUCACCACCGAGCAGUUCUUCGUCGGCAUCACCGCAUGCCGCCUCAACUGCCUCUCCGGCAGCUCCUGCGUCGCCUCCACCGCGCUCUCCGACGGCUCCGGCCUCUGCUUCCUCAAGGUCUCCAACUUCGUCAGCGCCUACCAGUCGGCGUCGCUCCCCAGCACGUCCUUCGUCAAGGUCUGCUUCCCCGGCGAGCCCAACCCGCCCCUCAGCACCGGCGACUCGUCCUCCUCGGGGUCCUCCGGCCUGCGCGGGUGGGUCGUGGCCCUGGUCGUCCUCGGCGUGGUGUCCGGGCUGGUGCUGGCCGAGUGGGCGCUGUGGUGGGUGUUCUGCCGGAACAGCCCGAAGUACGGGCCGGCGUCGGCGCAGUACGCGCUGCUGGAGUACGCGUCCGGCGCGCCGGUGCAGUUCUCGUACCGCGAGCUGCAGAGAUCAACCAAGGGGUUCAAGGAGAAGCUGGGCGCCGGCGGGUUCGGCGCGGUGUACCGCGGCGUGCUGGCGAACCGGACGGUGGUGGCCGUGAAGCAGCUGGAGGGGAUCGAGCAGGGGGAGAAGCAGUUCCGGAUGGAGGUGGCCACCAUCAGCAGCACGCACCACCUCAACCUGGUCCGCCUCAUCGGCUUCUGCUCCGAGGGCCGGCACCGGCUGCUCGUCUACGAGUUCAUGAAGAACGGCUCGCUGGACUCCUUCCUCUUCGGCGCCGGCAACAGCAACAGUAACGACAGCGGCAAGGCGAUGUCGUGGGCGACGCGGUUCGCGGUGGCCGUGGGCACGGCGCGCGGCAUCACGUACCUGCACGAGGAGUGCCGCGACACCAUCGUGCACUGCGACAUCAAGCCGGAGAACAUCCUCCUCGACGAGCAGCACAACGCCAAGGUGUCGGACUUCGGUCUCGCGAAGCUCAUCAACCCCAAGGACCACCGGCACCGGACGCUGACCAGCGUGCGCGGCACCAGGGGGUACCUGGCGCCGGAGUGGCUCGCCAACCUGCCCAUCACCGUCAAGUCGGACGUGUACAGCUACGGCAUGGUCCUGCUGGAGACGGUGAGCGGCCACCGGAACUUCGACAUCUCGGAGGAGACGAACCGGAAGAAGUUCUCGGUGUGGGCGUACGAGGAGUACGAGAAGGGGAACCUCCUGCCGAUCGUGGACCGGCGGCUGGCCGGGGAGGAGGUGGACAUGGCGCAGGUGGAGCGCGCGCUGCAGGUGAGCUUCUGGUGCAUCCAGGAGCAGCCCUCGCAGCGGCCGACCAUGGGCAAGGUGGUGCAGAUGCUGGAGGGGAUCAUGGAGCUGGAGCGGCCGCCGCCGCCCAAGUCGUCGGACAGCUUCAUGACGGUGACCACGGCCACCACGGGCGGCGGCUCGGGCAGCGGCGUGAGCAGCAGCGUGGCGUCGACGUUCGCGUCGUCGGUGGCGGCGCCGCCGGCGCCCGUGCCGUCGCCGAACGUGGAGCAGGAGAUGUCCGUGGGGCGGUCGGCCUCCGCCCGCACCCGCGAGAUCGCGUCGCUCCCGCUGCGCUCGUCGGAGCCAUACAUGACAAUGUGA
Molecule: ribosomal RNA, 2598 nt
Filed under: Triticum aestivum (bread wheat)
Lineage: Eukaryota; Viridiplantae; Streptophyta; Magnoliopsida; Poales; Poaceae
Description: partial small subunit ribosomal RNA
Source: RNAcentral